Molecule: ribosomal RNA, 537 nt
Filed under: uncultured bacterium
Lineage: Bacteria
Description: bacterial SSU rRNA
Rfam family: Bacterial small subunit ribosomal RNA
Source: RNAcentral
UGGGGAAUCUUGCGCAAUGGGCGAAAGCCUGACGCAGCGACGCCGCGUGGGGGAUGAAGCAUUUCGGUGUGUAAACCCCUUUCGACUGGGACGAAUGCCUCGCAAGAGGAGUGACGGUACCAGUAGAAGAAGCCCCGGCUAACUACGUGCCAGCAGCCGCGGUAAGACGUAGGGGGCCAGCGUUGUUCGGAAUUACUGGGUGUAAAGGGUUCGUAGGCGGUGUGGCAAGUUGGGAGUGAAAUCUCUGGGCUUAACCCAGAGGCUGCUUCCAAAACUGCUGUGCUUGAGUGUGGGAGAGGCGCGUGGAAUUGCAGGUGUAGCGGUGAAAUGCGUAGAUAUCUGCAGGAACACCCGUGGCGAAAGCGGGGCGCUGGACCACAACUGACGCUGAGGAACGAAAGCUAGGGGAGCAAACAGGAUUAGAUACCCUGGUAGUCCUAGCCCUAAACGAUCAGGACUUGGGGUGCCACCCGUUCGGGUGUCGUCCCGGAGCUAACGCGUUAAGUCCUGCACCUGGGGAGUACGGUCGCAAGACUG